This 309-nucleotide ribosomal RNA is filed under the name Chaetomium globosum. Its description in RNAcentral is "SSU rRNA". It matches the Rfam family "Eukaryotic small subunit ribosomal RNA", at positions 1139 to 1471 of the family's 1831-position model. Lineage: Eukaryota; Fungi; Ascomycota; Sordariomycetes; Sordariales; Chaetomiaceae. The record is from RNAcentral.
UUAACUUAAAGGAUUGACGGAAGGGCACCACCAGGGGUGGAGCCUGCGGCUUAAUUUGACUCAACACGGGGAAACUCACCAGGUCCAGACACGAUGAGGAUUGACAGAUUGAGAGCUCUUUCUUGAUUUCGUGGGUGGUGGUGCAUGGCCGUUCUUAGUUGGUGGAGUGAUUUGUCUGCUUAAUUGCGAUAACGAACGAGACCUUAACCUGCUAAAUAGCCCGCAUUGCUUUGGCAGUGCGCCGGCUUCUUAGAGGGACUAUCGGCUCAAGCCGAUGGAAGUUUGAGGCAAUAACAGGUCUGUGAUGCA